AAAAUUCGUGGAUCCUACGAAUGCCAUGCAACAAUUCGACAUACGCUGUGAGAUUUGAGUGAGUCUCAGUGUGAAAUACCAAAAAUGAAUAAGCAAGAGCAAACGCAUCGCAUAUUAGACAGUGCAGCUAGUAAUCUCAAUAAGAAAAUGCGAUUGGACUUCAUGUUAUUUAAAAAUUUAUGUUACAGCAUUUAGUGAAAGUGAAAAAUGUGUGCAGAGUGCGUUAAAAAGCAGUUUGGUUGAACCUGCUAUACAGAUAGGCAUAGCUGCAUGACACUCAACACUACAAUUAUAAUUUGCUGGUGUGUCGUCAAAAACGUAACAUUGUAUUUAUAUAUAAGUACUUAAUUAUAUGUUGUUCCUAAAAAUGUA
Molecule: long non-coding RNA, 372 nt
Organism: Bactrocera tryoni
Lineage: Eukaryota; Metazoa; Arthropoda; Insecta; Diptera; Tephritidae
Exons: 2
Source: RefSeq, a predicted model, not a curated record